GGGGCCGUAGCUCAGCUGGGAGAGCGCCUCGUUCGCAAUGAGGAGGUCGUCGGUUCGAUCCCGAUCGGCUCCACCA
RNAcentral lists this transfer RNA (76 nucleotides) under Magnetospirillum sp. Its description in RNAcentral is "tRNA-Ala". It matches the Rfam family "tRNA". Rfam says of the family: Transfer RNA (tRNA) molecules are approximately 80 nucleotides in length. RNAcentral also lists the same sequence under 8 other names. Lineage: Bacteria; Pseudomonadati; Pseudomonadota; Alphaproteobacteria; Rhodospirillales; Rhodospirillaceae. The record is from RNAcentral.